ACGGGUGAGUAACGCGUGGGAAUCUACCCAACUCUACGGAAUAACUCAGGGAAACUUGUGCUAAUACCGUAUACGCCCUUCGGGGGAAAGAUUUAUCGGAGUUGGAUGAGCCCGCGUUGGAUUAGCUAGUUGGUGGGGUAAAGGCCUACCAAGGCGACGAUCCAUAGCUGGUCUGAGAGGAUGAUCAGCCACAUUGGGACUGAGACACGGCCCAAACUCCUACGGGAGGCAGCAGUGGGGAAUAUUGGACAAUGGGCGCAAGCCUGAUCCAGCCAUGCCGCGUGUGUGAUGAAGGCCUUAGGGUUGUAAAGCACUUUCACCGGAGAAGAUAAUGACGGUAUCCGGAGAAGAAGCCCCGGCUAACUUCGUGCCAGCAGCCGCGGUAAUACGAAGGGGGCUAGCGUUGUUCGGAAUUACUGGGCGUAAAGCGCACGUAGGCGGAUCGAUCAGUCAGGGGUGAAAUCCCAGAGCUCAACUCUGGAACUGCCUUUGAUACUGUCGAUCUAGAGUAUGGAAGAGGUGAGUGGAAUUCCGAGUGUAGAGGUGAAAUUCGUAGA
RNAcentral lists this ribosomal RNA (557 nucleotides) under Rhizobium sp. HRRP067. Its description in RNAcentral is "bacterial SSU rRNA". It matches the Rfam family "Bacterial small subunit ribosomal RNA", at positions 102 to 694 of the family's 1533-position model. The record is from RNAcentral. Lineage: Bacteria; Pseudomonadati; Pseudomonadota; Alphaproteobacteria; Hyphomicrobiales; Rhizobiaceae. RNAcentral also lists the same sequence under 2 other names.